This is a long non-coding RNA of Xyrauchen texanus (razorback sucker), 425 nucleotides long. RefSeq lists it as uncharacterized. The record is from RefSeq and is a predicted model, not a curated record. The transcript has 3 exons. NCBI's taxonomy places the organism in Eukaryota, Metazoa, Chordata, Actinopteri, Cypriniformes, Catostomidae.
CCGAGAGAAAACUUGCGAUGAGCCUAGGAUUUGCACAUCCAGCCUGUUUCUUUUAUGGCGCUGCUAAAAUGAUAUAUGUAGAUGAAGCAGGAAAGGAUGCUGUUAUUAGGCCUCCUUGUGAUGGAUAACCUGAGCCGUAGCAAGGGCCAGACUGUGCAGAUGAAAAUUCGAGGGGAACAAGACAUGCUGCAUGGAAGAAUGAGGACUGCAGAUGUGGCCAGGGCAAUACAUUUAACUGGCAAAUAUGGUGCAGUCCAUGAGGAGGAGAUGCAUCCACCCCUCCCCCUUUGUUCAGGGACACAUUAUUCCAUUUCUGUUAGUCACAUGUCUGUGAAACUCGUUCUGUUAAUGUCUUAGUUGUUGAAACUUUUUAUGUUCAUACAAAUAUUUACAAUGUUAAAUUUGCUGAAAAUAAAAGCAGUUGA